This 441-nucleotide ribosomal RNA is filed under the name uncultured bacterium. Its description in RNAcentral is "bacterial SSU rRNA". It matches the Rfam family "Bacterial small subunit ribosomal RNA", at positions 339 to 796 of the family's 1533-position model. The record is from RNAcentral.
CUACGGGAGGCAGCAGUGAGGAAUAUUGGGCAAUGGGGGAAACCCUGACCCAGCAAUGCCGCGUGCGGGAAGACGCCUUUCGGGGUGUAAACCGCUUUUCUGCAUGAAGAGGAAGGACGGUAGUGCAGGAAUAAGUCACGGCUAACUACGUGCCAGCAGCCGCGGUAAUACGGAGGAUCCAAGCGUUAUCCGGAUUCAUUGGGUUUAAAGGGUGCGUAGGCGGAACGGUAAGUCAAGGGUGAAAGCCAGCAGCUCAACUGUUGAACUGCCUUUGAUACUGUCGUUCUUGAAUAUGGUUGAAGUGGGCGGAAUGUGACAUGUAGCGGUGAAAUGCUUAGAUAUGUCACAGAACACCGAUCGCGAAGGCAGCUCACUAAGCCAUCAUUGACGCUGAUGCACGAAAGCAUGGGGAGCAAACAGGAUUAGAUACCCGAGUAGUCC